Haliotis rubra (blacklip abalone) is the source of this 586-nucleotide long non-coding RNA. RefSeq lists it as uncharacterized. The record is from RefSeq and is a predicted model, not a curated record. Lineage: Eukaryota; Metazoa; Mollusca; Gastropoda; Lepetellida; Haliotidae. The transcript has 2 exons.
UGGUUUACACAUAUAACAGUGGGCGUUGUACAUGUUUACCUUGUGACGGUGGAUAACGAUAAGCGAUUUACCCGGCCAUCAGCACAGCAGGUGAAUUCAGUACUUGAAACAUGCUCGAAAGACGAUACCUGACAGUGUAAGAAGAUCCCAACGCAUGGAUGUGGAUUGAGCCCGAACAAACUUAACAACGAAGCAUGUCAUGAAUGCACUAACUUUAAUUACAGAUUAAGGUGCUCGGUAUCUCUGCGGAGUCUGUCAACAAACUCAGAGGUCGGUAACUGGGACAACAGGAUGCUGAGCACACUUUCGAGGGAUGUCGAAAUGUUGGUGCACAACAGGAAGGUUUAGUGUAAGCUUAUUUUAGCAGAUGGAAUGUUCGAUUAAUGAUAGAGCGUACUUGGCACAUUUAUUGACUGAUGCGAUUUUUUUAAUUACUAGCAAUUUUUGUACAAGUGUUGGUUUUUAGGCACAUAAAUCUUUAACAUUGCACUAAGGUUACCUUAGUGACUUGCCAAUGUGGUAUUCGCCCAUGUUAACUAUUUACUACCUUGUACAACCCGAAAUCAAUAUAAUUAAUUUCUCCAAA